UGGGGAAUUUUGGACAAUGGGCGAAAGCCUGAUCCAGCCAUUCCGCGUGAGUGAAGAAGGCCUUCGGGUUGUAAAGCUCUUUCGGCAGGAACGAAACGGUGAGCUCUAACAUAGCCUGCUAAUGACGGUACCUGAAGAAGAAGCACCGGCUAACUACGUGCCAGCAGCCGCGGUAAUACGUAGGGUGCGAGCGUUAAUCGGAAUUACUGGGCGUAAAGCGUGCGCAGGUGGUUGUUUAAGACAGAUGUGAAAUCCCGGGGCUCAACCCCGGAACUGCAUCCGAUACUGCCAUGCUCGA
RNAcentral lists this ribosomal RNA (298 nucleotides) under uncultured bacterium. Its description in RNAcentral is "partial 16S ribosomal RNA". It matches the Rfam family "Bacterial small subunit ribosomal RNA", at positions 355 to 645 of the family's 1533-position model. The record is from RNAcentral.